This 2991-nucleotide long non-coding RNA is filed under the name Equus caballus (horse). Its description in RNAcentral is "lncRNA (ENSECAG00000055065.1)". The record is from RNAcentral. Lineage: Eukaryota; Metazoa; Chordata; Mammalia; Perissodactyla; Equidae.
CAAUUAUUUUGUUAGGUAAUCAUUGAGUGCCCCGUGGCAGUCGUUCGCUCAUUCGUUCACCCAGCGAACAUUCACUGAGGGCCUUGCUUAGCCCGCGCGCCGUGCUGGGAGUUGGGGUGAUGGCAGCGAACAAGGCAAGCACAGCCCAGCUCCCUGUCUAGCUGGAAGUCACUGCCUCACCAAAUCAGCGAUGCAGUGUAGCCCCUGAAAUGCGUGGUCCUAAAGGGAGCAGGAUGGCUUCCUAGGAGCUGUGCCAAAGCUUAGCCAUCCAAACAGGAGUUCCCGCUUCAGAGCACUCGUUUCAGAGGCAUCAAUCUUAGGAGUUUAUUCUUAAAAUAUUUUUGCAACAGUUCUUUGGGACUAGCCACCACGGAGACUAUUAAAAGAAUUUUCUUUAGUCUCUGAAGGCUCUUCCAAAAGAGGAGUUCUAAAACCCUUUUGGGCAAUAAGUUCUUUGCAACACAUACCUAGCAUUCUUGAGGGGAAAGAGCUGUUAUUUGUCAUGUCUAUGCUCUGUACUACACCACUUUUAUGAUUUCUUCAGCUUAGGUCCCUUAAAGAUUUUAAUGCAGUGGUUUUCAACGGGGAGGCACUUUUGCCCCGCCAGGGGAUAUUCGGCAAGGCUGGAGACAUUUUUGGUUGUCACAACUUGAGCGGAGGGUGCUACUGGUGUCUCGGGGCUAGAGGCCAGGAUGCUGCUAACAUCCUACAGCGCACGGGACAGCCCCCACAGCACAGAGUUAUCCUGCCUCAAAUGUUGACGGUGCUCAGGUUGAGAAGCUCUGGUUUCAAUGGGAUGUUUGUUAAAAAAGUCGGUCUCAGGACUCUGCCCGCUACAAUUUCCCAGAAGGUGCCCCGGGAAGCGGGAACACUGAAGGGUCCAUUUGUGAAAGGGCCUCUGUUGGUGCCUCAGAGGCUCACUUGUUAAGAAGAUGUUCAGAGCAGGGCCUUGGCGAUCCGCAGGUCUGGGUGGACAUCUUGCUCUUGUACUUGCUAGCCAGGUGAGUGUGGGUGAUUUAUUUAACCUCACCGAGCCUCAGUUUCCCCAUCUGUAGUAGAGGAGUAAUAAUGCCUAUUUCCUAGGGUUUCUGUAGAUAUCCCCUGAGGUCAUGCACGGCAUGAGCUUAGUUCAGUCAGUGCUCCACAGGGAGGGGCUAGUACGGACUGUGACCUGAGAAUGAGUGUUUGUGCCUCACAAUGACCCUGAAUAUCAGCAAAUAUUUACUGAAGACCCGCGAAGCACCAAGCCCAUUGUUCGACUGUGGGGUCUCUGCACACAAGAAGUAGAUAGUCUGGAGUAAGAGGAAGAUAAAAGACACAUCUUCAUGAAGAGGAAACCAGCACCAUAUGACUGCAUUUGACAUGCUGGUUAGACUGUGGAUAUGAUGGCUGGAGGUGGACAAGCCACUUUAGACCAACAGUGUGGCUUGACGAGAAGUGCUAGGUCCCUGCCCGGGAUCCGAACCUGCAAACCCUGGGCUGUCGAAGAGGAGUGUGGGAACUUCACCACUAUGCCACCGGGCUGACCCCUCAAGGGAUCCUUUUUUGACGCUUGUUUUCUAUUUUUUUCCAAUCUGAGUGUUCUGUGCUGAAUUGUUUGGUUUGGAUGAAGUAUGUUACUUCCCUCUCCCUGGGAUUCUUUUAAAAAAGAAACGCCAACCAUCUCAGUCAAAUUUAGAAGGAAGAAAUUAAACAAAGGCUCCAGUGACUUGCAGUGGGGUGAGUCAGUCCUUUGCUCCUCAUAUGUUUUUAUUUAUUUUUUUUCUUUUUUGAGGAAGAUUAGCCCUGAGCUAAUUACUGUCAAUCCUCCUCUCUUUUUUUUUUUUUCCUGAGGAAGACUGGCCCUGAGCUAAUAUCCAUGCCCAUCUUCCUCUACUUUAUAUGUGGGAUGCCUACCACAGCAUGGCUUUUGCCAAGCGACGUGGUGUCCGCACCCGGGAUCCAAAUCAGCGAUCCCUGGGCCACCAAGAAGCGGAAAGUGCGAACUUAACUGCUGCUCCACUGGGCUGGCCCCAACCUCAUAUGUUUUUAAAAUGCUCAGCUCAGCCAGAGCCUCUUCUCCCCAGCAGUGGAUCCCUCAAUCCAAAAAGUCAGCCUUCUGAGAGAAACAGCACAUCCAGGGCAGGAGAUGUUGGCCUCAAGGCAUGAGCCAGCAAUAUUCCGAGGGUUCUAGGAAUGGCGCCUCGCAGUGUGAGCACUAGGUGAAAUUGACCUACCACAGCUCUCAGAGUUCUCGUGCAGUUCUGAUACAGCUCUGCAAUGUGCACGAACGAGGAUAAGCUUCAGAGGGCUAAAAUCAUGGUCUUGGCACCUCAAACAGUCUCAGAUAAAUCAAAAUGGGAUUCCGGAAAAGGGAAAAAGGUCUUGAGACCCAUGAUUUCCAUUUCUGCUAAGGAAAAGACUCGAUGGAAGACACAAAAUAAUGAUGAAAUAGGAAAUAGCCCAGAAAAAGAAGCAUCAAAGAAAGAUUAUUCCUCUAAGAUUUUAUCCUUGGGUAAAAUGGAUGGUGUAGUAAAGCUUUCAUAGCAAAGGAUUUUGUCAGCUAAAAGCACGAGGGAAAAGGCCAAACCACUGUGAUUUACCAGCAUCCCCUGCAAGGGCCUCUUUGCACAAAUGAUCCCUGGGAAUCUGUAUCUGAACUCAUCUCAGAAAGAUGGCUUUUUCAUAGCCUCGAUUACAGUUCAGUUCCUCAGAAGUGUUUCUUUGCAGAGAAGAUCUCAGUUUGAAGCAAAAUUGUUGAAGACCUCAAACGAUACUAAUAAAGAAUAAAAAUGAUCAUGGCUCUUUUGUGUCUAAUUUUUUUCUGCUUGUCUUUAUUUAGAACUCUUUGAUGGGAUAUUUUCUUUUAAGACUCUUAGGAGUGAUGGUAAUCAAUCUCUGAGGAUUUGAUUAUUUUUAGCCCCUUAAAAUAUUUUAAUAGAUUUUAGCCAAAAAGAGCAAUUUUUAAGUGAUUCACAUUUUUAUCGUAAGUAGAAGAGCGUUGAUCUCACA